GGUAGUAGUCAAGCGAAGGGGUGACGCAGGAAGGUAGCCGUACCAGUCAGUGGUAACACUGGGGCAAGCCGGUAGGGAGAGCGAUAGGCAAAUCCGUCGCUCACUAAUCCUGAGAGGUGACGCAUAGCCGGUUGAGGCGAAUUCGGUGAUCCUCUGCUGCCAAGAAAAGCCUCUAGCGAGCACACACACGGCCCGUACCCCAAACCGACACAGGUGGUCAGGUAGAGCAUACCAAGGCGUACGAGAUAACUAUGGUUAAGGAACUCGGCAAAAUGCCCCCGUAACUUCGGGAGAAGGGGGACCGGAAUAUCGUGAACACCCUUGCGGUGGGAGCGGGAUCCGGUCGCAGAAACCAGUGAGGAGCGACUGUUUACUAAAAACACAGGUCCGUGCGAAGUCGCAAGACGAUGUAUACGGACUGACGCCUGCCCGGUGCUGGAAGGUUAAGAGGACCCGUUAACCCGCAAGGGUGAAGCGGAGAAUUUAAGCCCCAGUAAACGGCGGUGGUAACUAUAACCAUCCUAAGGUAGCGAAAUUCCUUGUCGGGUAAGUUCCGACCUGCACGAAUGGCGUAACGACUUCUCAACUGUCUCAACCAUAGACUCGGCGAAAUUGCACUACGAGUAAAGAUGCUCGUUACGCGCGGCAGGACGAAAAGACCCCGGGACCUUCACUACAACUUGGUAUUGAUGUUCGGUACGGUUUGUGUAGGAUAGGUGGGAGACUGUGAAACCUCGACGCCAGUUGGGGCGGAGUCGUUGUUGAAAUACCACUCUGAUCGUAUUGGGCAUCUAACCUCGAACCCUGAAUCGGGUUUAGGGACAGUGCCUGGCGGGUAGUUUAACUGGGGCGGUUGCCUCCUAAAAUGUAACGGAGGCGCCCAAAGGUUCCCUCAACCUGGACGGCAAUCAGGUGGCGAGUGUAAAUGCACAAGGGAGCUUGACUGCGAGACUUACAAGUCAAGCAGGGACGAAAGUCGGGAUUAGUGAUCCGGCACCCCCGAGUGGAAGGGGUGUCGCUCAACGGAUAAAAGGUACCCCGGGGAUAACAGGCUGAUCUUCCCCAAGAGUCCAUAUCGACGGGAUGGUUUGGCACCUCGAUGUCGGCUCGUCGCAUCCUGGGGCUGGAGCAGGUCCCAAGGGUUGGGCUGUUCGCCCAUUAAAGCGGCACGCGAGCUGGGUUUAGAACGUCGUGAGACAGUUCGGUCUCUAUCCGCCGCGCGCGUCAGAAACUUGAGGAAACCUGUCCCUAGUACGAGAGGACCGGGACGGACGAACCUCUGGUGCACCAGUUGUCCCGCCAGGGGCACCGCUGGAUAGCCACGUUCGGUCAGGAUAACCGCUGAAAGCAUCUAAGCGGGAAACCUUCUCCAAGAUCAGGUUUCUCACCCACUUGGUGGGAUAAGGCCCCC
This 1411-nucleotide ribosomal RNA is filed under the name Mycobacterium tuberculosis. RNAcentral's name for it is "partial 23S ribosomal RNA". It matches the Rfam family "Bacterial large subunit ribosomal RNA", at positions 1449 to 2838 of the family's 2925-position model. Lineage: Bacteria; Bacillati; Actinomycetota; Actinomycetes; Mycobacteriales; Mycobacteriaceae. The record is from RNAcentral.